UAACAACACACAACAUUCCAGGAAUGUACUACCAAAGUUCUAUCAAUAUUUGAAUGUCCUGGACAUUUAGGGAACAUUCGGUGAACAUCUGAUUAAAUUAUUCGUGGAAUGUUACCAUAAGACAUUCUGUGAACAUACUACCAAUGUUCCUUUUGUUAAUAUGUUCAUUUUCAAACUCACGGCGCAUGUAUUUGUGCAUGGUGCUUAGAGAGGGCAUCACGUGACUAAAAACGACCAAUGACCUCACUUCAGACUUCGGUGCUUCGGCCAUCUUGACAUGCAUCUUGGCCUUGGCCACCUUGCCGUGCGUGAUCGUUGUUUGUUUUUAUUUGUGCUUUUUAAGAAUAUUUUUUAAUUCGGAUACUUUUAUAAUAACUUUAAUAGUAUUAUUAAUAUAGUGCAUAAAAUCAGUUGGAGUAGCAGAAGCAAUGUAGAUAAAAAAUCUGCAGGAAUAAUGUUUCAAAGCUUUCCAGAAGAUCCUGCGAAGAAGGCAUGAAGUAUUGAUCAGAUUUGUUAAUAGAGCAGUAUGUUCAAAACAUUUUUUAGAAAAAGAUAUUGACAGAACUUCACUUUCAACCGUGAACUUCACUUUCAACCGUUUGAGAGACUGUGCUGUUCCAAUAGCUUAUAUCACACAGAAUCAGCUGAGAGAAGUGGUCUACAAAAAACCAGGAAGGAAAUGGAAUAUGUGGCUAUGAAAGGCAAAAGAAAGGUUUACAAAGCAAAUGUGACACAUUUUUUUAUAGGAAUAUCAGUAAAUUACAUUAAAAAAAUGUAUGAAAAAAUUUUUUGCAAUAAAAAUGUUUAUAUUUA
This 813-nucleotide long non-coding RNA is filed under the name Diabrotica virgifera virgifera (western corn rootworm). Its description in RNAcentral is "uncharacterized LOC126881830". The record is from RNAcentral. Lineage: Eukaryota; Metazoa; Arthropoda; Insecta; Coleoptera; Chrysomelidae.